RNAcentral lists this long non-coding RNA (242 nucleotides) under Gossypium barbadense (sea-island cotton). RNAcentral describes it as "long non-coding RNA (GBAR_LNC008965)". The record is from RNAcentral. Lineage: Eukaryota; Viridiplantae; Streptophyta; Magnoliopsida; Malvales; Malvaceae.
GCCUUUGGAUGCCAAGGCUUCCAGCACAGUGAGGGAAUUCUACUGCACUGGACAGCCUUAAGCUGACUGGUGAUAAAAGCAUCAGUUGGGUGUAGCUGGGGCAAUAGAUAUUUUUAGAAGACAAUAACACCCUUGUUGCUGUUUCUGUUGUUGCUGCUGCUGCUGCUGUUGGUAUUGUUGAUAAUGGGAAAUGGGAAUGGGAAUGGGAAUGGGAAUGGGAGGAGGGAACGGUGGAAGAGGGG